AGGCAACACUUGGAGAGUGUCGAGGCCCCGGAUGUCGGACAGCGACACCUAGCGGGCCGGAGGACUACGCGCCCCACCUGUAAUGACACGUGCUGACCACCAGAGGGAGCCGUCGGACUUGGUUUUCUUGCCGUUUUUUUUUCUUCAGAAAAAUGAUCUCCAGAAAAAGGAGACAAAGAUGAGUAAUUUUUAUCACCCUCUAAAUCUAAUCGUUUUAUACAUUGCCCAAGUAAAAAAGUAUUUUACAACUUUAUCCAUCCACACUAUAUUUCAAAAGAAAUAUUACUUAGUACUUAUUUUGUCCCGCUAUUAAUCCCACAAAAUAGGCAUUGCAGAUAAAUAACAAUUACUAUUAUUAGAAUAAUUAUAAUAGGAGAAUAAUUAUACAAUAUAUCAUUUCAAUUUAAUAAAAAUGGACACAUAACAUUAUACUCUGAGUGAGCAUGAUCCAAAUUGUAUGUAUGUUGUAUUUUUAAAUUCACUUUUCCGGUAGCAUUUUCAUCAUGUGAUACCUUUUACUUCUCAUCCACUAAAUUGAAGUCCCAGGAAUACUGACGAAUAAUUUAUGAAGAUGUAGUCUUGCAUUAAGCAUUAAACAAUUAAAACUGCUAAAACUGUUAUAUCUUGACUAACUUGAAUCUAAAAGUGCAAACACUGCUAUACUACAUAAUAGGUGCUUGGUCUUUGAGUAUGUUUGAGUACAUUUUGCUUGUAAUACUUACAAUAAUGCAAAUUAAUAUUGAGCAUAUAUUAUUGACAUGUUGAGAAAUGGUCCCUCUCUUUCUCUCUCUCUCUCUCUCUCUCUCUCUCUCUCUCUCUCUGAGAAGAUAUGAAAAAUUGAGCAAACACUUUUGUAAUCCUGAGCCAAUAUUGAACUAUGGUCAUCAUUGCCUCAGCAUGUUUGUAUUGAUCCCUUUUCAUUAGAUAACGGGGCACACAGUUCUUGCUCACUGGACUGAUCGGCUGAUGUAGUUUUGUAGAUAUCAAACUGGAAUUGAACUUGUUUGAGAUAAUCUUUAAUCACUCAGAUCAUAUCCCCGUUUUUAACCUUUUUAACGUCCCAAAAGACAGAAUCAAAAGCAUCUCCCGAAAUGUCAGUAAAACCUGACACAUCUUGUAUGUUUUCUCUUGAUCCAGGCUUUACCAGCGGGUUUCCACGGCAGUGACUGGUCGGGGGACUCCCUGGUGGGUUCCCAUGCUCUGUGUUUCCUGUGCAGAUCAGUGAGCUGAGCUGAGCUGAUCCCCCGAUGCUCCCCUCUCCCCAUUCUUUGCAGAUAGAACCGGGAGAUUGACCACCCCGGUGAGAGCCCCGAAAAGCCUCUAGCAUCUCAAUCCUGCUGGAUAGCAACAAACACGUAACACGGCCGCCUUCUCCCCAACAGAUGGCCUGCUGUCAAAACAAAGGUUCUCUUGAGGAGACACUGUUACAACGAAACAGCGUCUGAUGUUUCUUGAGAUUAACUGGCAAACUGCCGCGAUAUUCACACAGCAAAUUGGACGUGGCGGGCCGGCCCAGGAGACGGAAGUUCAGACCCCCGCGGUCGGAGGUCGUGUCACUCUCUGGGAAAUUAUGUGUCAUGAUCAACAUUGUGAGCUGUUUCACACGCCAUUAUAAUGUGUGCGUCUGUGUGUGUGUGUGUGUGUGUGUGUGUGUGUGUGUGUGUGUGUGUGUGUGUGUGUGUCUCAUUCAGUUCACCUCCCUUCCGUUUUUCCCAUUGGUGUGGUUGUUCAUUCGAGGUAAUACAAUUGACAGAGAGAAUACGGAUGAUAAAGUGCUGUUUUUGUGUGUCUGUAACUCAGGUUUAGGCUUCAACUGUGGCCCCUGGCUCUUUAUGUGAGUCACAUGGUCUACUUAUAGUACUCCAUUACCAACGACCCCCUGAUUUAAGACAAGCAGAGAAGUACAGUGCAGCGCUGUGAAGGCUUAGAGGCAAUUUUGCAAAAUACGCAUUCAUUUUCUCUGCAUCGUUAAAGCUAAUAUUAAGAUGUUACGGUCACUUUUAACCGUGGUGUUAUCCUCAUAUACAGCCAGCUAGAGCAAUUUCCUCCCGUUCCUCUCCGCUGCCGAUGCAUGACAGAUCUUGUCUGAUUAUGUGAACAUUCCCACAGUUGUGUCAAAACUGCUGAUCGGAAGAAACGGCUAAACGAGUCUUUCCCACACAUUAUUGGAUGUAUACUUUUAUCUGGCUGAUAUAGUGGGCCAGUGCAUGACGGCGCGACUCACAUGCUUAAACAACAAAAACGUCCAAAUAAGAAUCCAUUCAUUCAUUUACAACUUAGCGUUACAUUUAAAGUUCCUGUGCAUGAACACCCCCUAUGGCCGCACAUCGCAGGAGUUGCACGGAGCCGCUUGGUAUGUCGGUAUGCUGGUUCCUUUGUUGGGGAGAGGGUCUGCAUGCCAGGCGGAGCAAUCCAGCCCGCCACAGGGGUCGUCGGAGGGGGGGAGGAGUUUUGAUUAUGAUCAUUAUUUGGUAAAUAAGAUGUCAACAAGGUGUUUCCUUGACACUUUAUUGAGUAAAAGGAGGAAGGUGCAGAAAUGAAACCCCCCCCCCCACCCCUCUCAACGGGACCUCUAAUCUCCUCUUUCAUGUCCCAUCUCGUCUGAAGGGGCUUCGGCCUCGGCUGCCAUGUGCUAGUUUGCCCGGGCCCGGCGCUUCUUACUUGCAGGUGGGAGUUUCCUGACCCCGAUGUGAAAGGAAGGUCGUGUUUACUGCAGAGCAUCAGGUAUCGCCGCCUCAAAGAGUAAAGAAGGAAGAACG
Molecule: long non-coding RNA, 2759 nt
Organism: Gasterosteus aculeatus aculeatus (three-spined stickleback)
Lineage: Eukaryota; Metazoa; Chordata; Actinopteri; Perciformes; Gasterosteidae
Source: RefSeq, a predicted model, not a curated record